UCCGAGUUGACCCCGGCAGUCUCCCAUGAGUCCCCGGCAUAACCCGCUGGCAACAUGGAACGAGGGUUGCGCUCGUUGCGGGACUUAACCCAACAUCUCACGACACGAGCUGACGACAGCCAUGCACCACCUGCACACAGGCCACAAGGGAACUGAUAUCUCUACCAGCGUCCUGUGCAUGUCAAACCCAGGUAAGGUUCUUCGCGUUGCAUCGAAUCAAUCCACAUGCUCCACCGCUUGUGCGGGCCCCCGUCGAUUCCUUUGAGUUUCAGCCUUGCGGCCGUACUCCCCAGGCGGGGUACUUCCUGCGUUAGCGCCGGCACCCAAGGGGUCGCUCCCCCAGGCACCUAGUACCCAUCGUUUACGGCGUGGACUAC
Molecule: unclassified non-coding RNA, 377 nt
Filed under: uncultured Actinomycetes bacterium
Lineage: Bacteria; Bacillati; Actinomycetota; Actinomycetes
Description: uncultured actinobacterium contains 16S-23S intergenic spacer region
Source: RNAcentral